GACGAACGCUGGCGGCGUGCUUAACACAUGCAAGUCGAACGGAAAGGCCCUGCUUUUGUGGGGUGCUCGAGUGGCGAACGGGCGAGUAACACGUGAGUAACCUGCCCUUGACUUUGGGAUAACUUCAGGAAACUGGGGCUAAUACCGGAUAGGAGCUCCUGCUGCAUGGUGGGGGUUGGAAAGUUUCGGCGGUUGGGGAUGGACUCGCGGCUUAUCAGCUGGUUGGUGGGGUAGUGGCUUACCAAGGCUUUGACGGGUAGCCGGCCUGAGAGGGUGACCGGCCACAUUGGGACUGAGAUACGGCCCAGACUCCUACGGGAGGCAGCAGUGGGGAAUAUUGCACAAUGGGCGGAAGCCUGAUGCAGCAACGCCGCGUGCGGGAUGACGGCCUUCGGGUUGUAAACCGCUUUCGCCUGUGACGAAGCGUGAGUGACGGUAAUGGGUAAAGAAGCACCGGCUAACUACGUG
Molecule: ribosomal RNA, 468 nt
Filed under: uncultured bacterium
Lineage: Bacteria
Description: partial 16S ribosomal RNA
Rfam family: Bacterial small subunit ribosomal RNA
Source: RNAcentral